This 254-nucleotide ribosomal RNA is filed under the name uncultured bacterium. Its description in RNAcentral is "partial 16S ribosomal RNA". It matches the Rfam family "Bacterial small subunit ribosomal RNA", at positions 524 to 776 of the family's 1533-position model. The record is from RNAcentral.
UACGGAGGGUGCAAGCGUUAUCCGGAUUUACUGGGUUUAAAGGGUGUGUAGGCGGACUUUUAAGUCAGCGGUGAAAUUCCCGGGCUCAACCUGGGGGCUGCAUUUGAUACGUAUGAUCUUGAGUGGGGAAGAGGGUCGUGGAAUUCCCAGUGUAGAGGUGAAAUUCGUAGAUAUUGGGAAGAACACCGGUGGCGAAGGCGGCGACCUGGUCCUUUUACUGACGCUGAGGCGCGAAAGCGUGGGGAGCAAACAGG